Coregonus clupeaformis (lake whitefish) is the source of this 1041-nucleotide long non-coding RNA. RefSeq lists it as uncharacterized. The record is from RefSeq and is a predicted model, not a curated record. The transcript has 3 exons. Lineage: Eukaryota; Metazoa; Chordata; Actinopteri; Salmoniformes; Salmonidae.
AGCACGACCAGGUGGACUGGGGACAGGAACAGCCAGGAGUCAUCAGGCCAGGUAGUCCUGAGGCAUGGUCCUAGAGCUCAGGUCCUGCAUCCUUUAUUUAAUUUAAGUGUAGACUAAGCCCUAGAGGUUUUGUAACUUCACAUGAUUUAACCUACUUGUCAAUCCAGAUCUGAAUAUUUGAUAUCCUUUUUACUGUACACUGUUGAUAGUAUUUUUUUGCGAAGCUAAUCACUGAAUGUCCUACUACAAGGAUGUGGUCAGGUUGACACACUUCUGAGUCAAUAACACAGAUCACACACACCACAGAUUGCGAGGGCAAGUACAAUGAGCAGUUGGGAAAAUGAAGUCUGCUGUGUGGUUGCCCAAUAUACACACACACACAAACACACACUUAAUUUAGGUUAGUGUGUAGUCGAGGCUUUGUCAUUAAAAUAAUAUUGUGCCUAUCUUUCAGAUCUGCCAACCAGGCUCGGUGGGUGACAGGUAACCGUGUUUCAAUCAAUCUGUUCCAGGCCUGGAGUGACACGCUGAAACUUCCAGAGGCUUGUAGACCUGAAGCAGUGUGAUGUGGUCCAGAAAAUGGUCACACACACACUUAUACUCACUCAAUCACUCACUCUAUUUUGUUGUAUAAUUAUUUUCACUUAAGAAAAUUGUGCCUCUCUCUUUUAGAUAUGACACCCCUAUUAGCUCAACCACAGCCCUCACAGCUGCAGUCGUCUGCCCCUGCACCUGCUACACCGGCCGCGACAGGUGAUACAGAUCUGCCACCCCCCAGCAGUUCAGCUGCAGUUACAGUAGUCCUGUGGUAUUUAAUUUACCGGCUGCACCAGUUCCUACUACACUGGCCGUGAAGGGAGAACCUUUUGAGGAUUCCCAGAUGGAUACCGAUCUGCCAUGCACUCCACCACUGCCCAGAAGUGCAUACACUGGGCCUAUCAAGACUGACAAAGCAGAGAUGGGUGGCUGACAAGGAAAAAUAAAACACAACAUGCACACACACUCUAUCCCCAAUGUAAAUAAAUUGUAAUUACUUGUUUA